Molecule: ribosomal RNA, 506 nt
Filed under: uncultured anaerobic bacterium
Lineage: Bacteria
Description: bacterial SSU rRNA
Rfam family: Bacterial small subunit ribosomal RNA
Source: RNAcentral
AACGCUGGCGGCGUGCUUAACACAUGCAAGUCGCACGAGAACGCUUCAGCUUGCUGAGGCAAGUAAAGUGGCGCACGGGUGAGUAACGCGUGGGUAAUCUACCUCUGAAUUGGGGAUAACACUGCGAAAGCGGUGCUAAUACCGAAUAAUAUCAUCAGGGCUCCGGUCUUGGUGAUCAAAGGUGGCCUCUACGUGUAAGCUACUGUUUAGAGAUGAGCUCGCGUACCAUAGCUUGUUGGUAGGGUAACGGCCUACCAAGGCUGCGAUGGUUAGCUGGUCUGAGAGGAUGAUCAGCCACACUGGAACUGACACACGGUCCAGACUCCUACGGGAGGCAGCAGUGAGGAAUUUUGCGCAAUGGGGGAAACCCUGACGCAGCAACGCCGCGUGAGUGAUGAAGGCUUUCGGGUCGUAAAGCUCUGUCAAGUGGGAAGAACCUGCCUUGUGAUAAUACCAUAGGGCACCGACGGUACCACUGAAGGAAGCACCGGCUAACUCCGUGCCAG